This 52-nucleotide ribosomal RNA is filed under the name Mniodes argentea. Its description in RNAcentral is "Merope argentea partial 28S ribosomal RNA". The record is from RNAcentral. Lineage: Eukaryota; Viridiplantae; Streptophyta; Magnoliopsida; Asterales; Asteraceae.
ACCGCGAUCCCAGGGCAGGCGGGGAUUACCCGCUGAGUUUAAGCAAAUCAAU